AACGUAGGAGGCAAGCGUUAUCCGGAUUUACUGGGCGUAAAGGGCGUGCAGGUGGUUGUCUAAGUGGUGCGUGAAAGCGCCCGGCUCAACCGGGCGAGGCCGUGCCAAACUGGAGAACUGGAAACAGGCAAAGGCAAGUGGAAUUCGGGGUGUAGUGGUGAAAUGCGUAGAGAUCCCGAGGAACUCCUGUGGCGAAGGCGACUUGCUGGGCCUGCUUUGACACUCAGACGCGAAAGCAUGGGGAGCGAACGGG
Molecule: ribosomal RNA, 253 nt
Filed under: uncultured bacterium
Lineage: Bacteria
Description: partial 16S ribosomal RNA
Rfam family: Bacterial small subunit ribosomal RNA
Source: RNAcentral